This 938-nucleotide ribosomal RNA is filed under the name Pseudomonas putida. RNAcentral's name for it is "bacterial SSU rRNA". It matches the Rfam family "Bacterial small subunit ribosomal RNA", at positions 47 to 974 of the family's 1533-position model. The record is from RNAcentral. Lineage: Bacteria; Pseudomonadati; Pseudomonadota; Gammaproteobacteria; Pseudomonadales; Pseudomonadaceae.
UCUUCCAUGCAAGUCGAGCGGAUGACGGAGCUUGCUCUAUGAUUUGACGACGGACGGAUGAGUGAUGCCUGUGAGUCUGCCUGGUUGUGGGGGGGGGCUUUUCGAAGGGAACGCUANUACCGCCCACAUCCUACCGGAGAAAGCAGGGGGGCUACCUUCCUUGCUCUAUCCAAUGAACCUACCCCGGAUUAACUAGUUGGUGGGGUAAUGGCUCACCCACGCAACCAUCCAUCCCUGGUCUGACAGGAUGAACAACCACACUGGAACUGACACACAGUCCAUACUCCUACCGGAGGCAGGAAUGGGGAAUAUUGGACAAUGGGCGAAAGCCUGAUCCAUCCAUGCCUCGUGUGUGAAUAAGGUCUUCGGAUUGUAAAGCACUUUAUUUUGGGAGGAAGGACAGUAAGUUAAUACCUUGCUGUUUUGAUUUUACCUACCAAUAAACACCGGCUAACUCUGCGGUGCCGCCGCGGUAAUACAUAGGGUGCGUGCGUUAAUCGGAAUUACUGGGCGUAAAGCGCGCGCUAGGUGGUUUGUUAAGUUGGAUGUGAAAGCCCCCCGCUCAACCUGGUAACUGCAUCCUUAACUGGUGAGCUGCAGUAGUGUUGAGGGGGGUGGAAUUUCUUGUGUAGCGGCGAAAUGCUUAGAUAUAGAUAAGGAACACCACUGGCGAAGGCGACCACCUGCACUGAUACUGACUGACGAUGCGCUNCAACAUGGGGAGCAAACAAGAUGAUAUACUCUGCUGGUCCACCCCGCAAACAAUGACAACUACUGGUAGGAAUCCUUCAUAAUUAGUGGCUGCCGCUAACUAAAUUAAUUUGACCACCUGCGUGGAGUACGGGCCGCAGNGUUGAAUACUACUAUAAUUUGAUGGCGGCCCGCCCCAACCAGGCGGAGCAUGUUGUUUAUUUAUUAGCAAGCACGAAGAAGCAUUC